AUUGAACGCUGGCGGCAGGCUUAACACAUGCAAGUCGAGCGGGGAAGGGUAGCUUGCUACCUGACCUAGCGGCGGACGGGUGAGUAAUGCUUAGGAAUCUGCCUAUUAGUGGGGGACAACAUUCCGAAAGGAAUGCUAAUACCGCAUACGCCCUACGGGGGAAAGCAGGGGAUCUUCGGACCUCGCGCUAAUAGAUGAGCCUAAGUCAGAUUAGCUAGUUGGUGGGGUAAAGGCCUACCAAGGCGACGAUCUGUAGCGGGUCUGAGAGGAUGAUCCGCCACACUGGGACUGAGACACGGCCCAGACUCCUACGGGAGGCAGCAGUGGGGAAUAUUGGACAAUGGGCGAAAGCCUGAUCCAGCCAUGCCGCGUGUGUGAAGAAGGUCUUUCGGUUGUAAAGCACUUUAAGCGAGGAGGAGGCUACCGAGAUUAAUACUCUUGGAUAGUGGACGUUACUCGCAGAAUAAGCACCGGCUAACUCUGUGCCAGCAGCCGCCGUAA
Molecule: ribosomal RNA, 501 nt
Filed under: uncultured bacterium
Lineage: Bacteria
Description: partial 16S ribosomal RNA
Rfam family: Bacterial small subunit ribosomal RNA
Source: RNAcentral